AUGAUUGUCGAUGGCUGCCUCUGCUUUUACAGGAAUAAGGAGACAAAGAUGCCAAUAACGAGGCGUCUUUCUGGAGACAGCGACUCGUCUACGGCCUCUUCCAAGGGAGGAGGAGGAGGGCGGCGCUCCCUUGGUGGCACAUCGUCGCGCUCUGGUGAAGAGGUAGUGUUUCUUGUAAACCGGAAAGAAGGGAAGCACAUGAUUGAAAGGGCGGGGGCAGGAAAUCGGACCCCAUCUCAGCGACCCUCUAUUACCCGUGCACGCAGCAAAUCUCAAGAACGUCCCACGCUUGCCCCAAUGCUCAAACCCAACCCUCCAUCUGGAUCCUCAGAUGGAACACGAACGUCUCGCACAGAAAGGGGGCGCACCCUGGGGCCUGAGAUGCAUAGGAGGCUCCAUCCGCCUCGCUCCCACAGCCAGAGCAUGUUAACCAGACCGACUUGGUCAGGUGAUGGCAGCCCUGGACAGGCCGCCUCCUCUAAAGAUCCUCAGCCGCCACCGUCAGAAAGAAGAGAAGACCUUUGCGUGAAACAGGCGCCACCGUCCUCUCCUAGAGUAGCUGUUGGCCUUGCUAAGAGGCAGUCAACAUCAUGUUCUAACUCUCCUCUUAAAGGCGUCCAGAGCAACAACAGUAGCCCCGGCAAAAAGACAACAACUACUCCCAAACCCCCUGCUCCACGUUCACCAUCCAUGGGAAGAGGCAGGCUUCUACCACCUGUCACCCCUGGAGGGCGACGUUCAACACAAUCAUCUCCUCGUCACGUUAGUAACCAUGCUCCCCGCUCCCCUCGGUUCUCGCAGACUCCUCGCUUUGCUGGGCGAGGCCAACCUGGAAACAGCUCUAGCCUGGAGUGCCAGGAGCCUGAGAGACUUGGCUUUGGAUACCAGAUGCUGCCACCAUUAGACCCAAAGAGGGAACAGGACCUGUAUCGCAGCUUUGAGGCCGAGUUUCUGGCAAAUACCCAGAAAGUCAGGGAGAAUUCAGCUGAAAAGACUCCAGAAAGAGCGUCCCUGCAGGUACCCGGGAAACCACAAGAAACUGCACCCACUGAGCCUAAUGUCUUUGACUUUACCGACUCCUCCUCUAACUCUUCCACUUCCUCCCUAAAUGUGGGCACAAAGACGGGACUUCUGCCUGAACUGAAGGAAUCCAAGAGGACUAACCUCCGUCACUUCUCGCAGGAGGAUCCUUUGAAAAUGCUUCCUAGAAACAAUCAUAGAGGUUCUCUUGGUCAAGGAGAGCCUGAACCUUGGGGGGAUCAUAAAGGGGGUCUCAGGAAGCUCCCAGCCAUUUCCAGCUCAUUAGAUGAGAGAGAUGUUCCAUCGUCUUUAUCUAGAGAGACAGACAGGCUAAUGAAUCACAUUCCCUCACAGCCUGAAUCUCGUUGCAGAAAUAUGAAUGGAGUACUUGGAAAUUGUCCUCUUACUGGGAGACUCACUGGUCAACACAGCCAGCUUGAUUUGAGCUCUACUGCUGAAGGAGACGUCCCACUAGGAAACCAUCUUUCAAGCCUUCCUUUUGACAACGAUGACAGGAGAGACGACCUUCCACCUCUUGAAGUUCGUCAUUCACCCACACCCCUCCCCCCUUCUGAAGACUGCUCCUUCCAGGAUUCUUCAAGUGAAAAUUCCUCCACGUGCUUCAGCUUGAGCGAAUCCCGCUCUGAGUCCCCCCCUCCGUCAAUAACGCUGACCAAUGGGGAAACUGAGCAAAAGAAUGCUAACAAUGUAGCCCCGGUCUCCAAGCUGGGACGAUUCAGGCCUCGCACUGACAACAGGCCCCAGAACACACGCUCACGUAUCCCCACACCAGUCGGCUACAGAGACGUCCACACUCGUGAAACACUUUCACCCUGUCACACCCCACCGCUGUCUCCUAAGAGCUCCCACCCCGCCGGUUGUCCAACCACAUGCUCCUACCCUGCACAGAGCGGCCUGGAUGUUGAAGCUUUAGCACAAAACUGA
Molecule: long non-coding RNA, 1965 nt
Filed under: Nothobranchius furzeri (turquoise killifish)
Lineage: Eukaryota; Metazoa; Chordata; Actinopteri; Cyprinodontiformes; Nothobranchiidae
Description: lncRNA (ENSNFUG00015020937.1)
Source: RNAcentral